This 66-nucleotide transfer RNA is filed under the name Marumba sperchius. Its description in RNAcentral is "tRNA-Arg". The record is from RNAcentral. Lineage: Eukaryota; Metazoa; Arthropoda; Insecta; Lepidoptera; Sphingidae.
AAAUAAGAAGCAAAUAAUUUGCAUUUAAUUUCGACUUAAAAAUAAGAGUAAAUUACUCCUUAUUUA